CUCAUAAGUUAUUUAUAAAGAGCAAUCACUAGCAGGACGGUGGCCAUGGAAGUCGGAAUCCGCUAAGGAGUGUGUAACAACUCACCUGCCGAAUCAACUAGCCCUGAAAAUGGAUGGCGCUGGAG
Molecule: non-coding RNA, 125 nt
Filed under: Myotis lucifugus (little brown bat)
Lineage: Eukaryota; Metazoa; Chordata; Mammalia; Chiroptera; Vespertilionidae
Description: Eukaryotic large subunit ribosomal RNA
Rfam family: Eukaryotic large subunit ribosomal RNA
Source: Rfam by way of RNAcentral